GCCGGGUGUGGUGGCGCACACCUGUAAUCCCAGCUACUUGGGAGGCUGAGGCAUGAGAAUCACUUGAACCCAGGAGGUGGAGGCUGCAGUGAGCUGAGAUCACGCCACUGCACUCCAGCCUGGGUGACAGAGGAAGACUCUGUCUCAA
This 148-nucleotide small RNA is filed under the name Pongo abelii (Sumatran orangutan). RNAcentral's name for it is "Metazoan signal recognition particle RNA (ENSPPYG00000030519.1)". The record is from Rfam by way of RNAcentral. Lineage: Eukaryota; Metazoa; Chordata; Mammalia; Primates; Hominidae.